Drosophila albomicans is the source of this 4541-nucleotide RNA transcript. It is a transcript of the gene named probable G-protein coupled receptor Mth-like 1, with no coding region annotated. The transcript is spliced from 3 exons. The record is from RefSeq and is a predicted model, not a curated record. Lineage: Eukaryota; Metazoa; Arthropoda; Insecta; Diptera; Drosophilidae.
GAUGAUGAUGAUGAUAAAAGAGAGCAGCAACAACACAAGCAGUAUUUGUAUUUCCACAUAAUUAUUGACAACGUGCAGAGCAAGCAAAGAGAGCGAACAAGUAAGAAGAUAUACAAGAAGUAGGAAGACAAGCAAUAAGAAGCAGCAGCCACAACUCUGUCUGGCAUUCAAAAUAUGCGCACACAUACAAACAAACAAACAUAGCACUGCCUUGAAAGCUCAACAAGUUGAAACGAAAAAGAAGGCCAGAAGGAGACAGCAAACAGUGAAGACCUACUUUGCCAAUUUGCCAAAGCGCAACUGACAGUGAUAGAUAGCUUAGAUAGCUAAAGUACUUUGUGUGCAUUGUGUGCUUAAAGCUUUACUUACACGUCAAACACAAUGCAAAGCUUUUGGGUAUUACUGCUGAUCGCGCAGCUUGUGUGCAGUCAGGAAGCGAUAACAACGACCGAGGACACUUUAACCAUAAGCUCCACAUCCACCGCAGCCAGUGUGACCAACGGUGAUCGCCUGCAACCGCCGCCGCGUGUCACGUUGAACAAGUGUUGCCAUGGCGGGGAAUAUUUAAACAGCAGCUCGCGGAUUUGUGUGGCCGGCGCCUCCAAGGAUUGGGUGCCGCUCGUCUUUCUCAUACAGCAGCGACGCUUCUUUGAGCCCGAAGGCUCCAAGCCGCGCUUCGUGAAAUUCGUGCCCAACGUGCAGCCCCAGUGUGACGAGCAACAUCAGCAAUUGGAGCUGUUCCACACCCGAAGCGCCAAUGUGCUCAUCUUCUCCAAUGGAACGCUGUCGGUGCGCGAACGCGACAUCCUCGUCCAGCCCGCCAACUAUUGUGUAGAUCGCUUUGUGGCGCUGGUCUGCGUAGAACGCGAUGCGCCAUUGCCCAUGCAACAGAAGGAACGUCAACCGGGUGACGAGUCUCAACAGGUGGCGCCACCACCACCGCCAACGUUGCGUCUGCGCAAAUGCUGUGGCAAGCGUGGCAUCUACAACAGCAACAUCAAAAGUUGCACGCUGCAAACUGCAGCGAGCGGCAGUAACGAUUCAAACGGACAGCUGCAAUUGGAGCCACAGUUGCCAUGGGGCAGCUAUCAAACCAGCUACGGACUCCCGGAGUGUCAUCUGGGGAAUGGCAGUGCGUAUGCCAUUGCCGGGGAUUGGCAUGAGGCCACAUUGAAUCGCACAACGGGCGCCCUGCAACUGCAACUCACGAAUCUGAGCGCAUUGCAAUAUUGUCUGGAGCACACCGAACGUGCCGGCGAGGUGAAGAUCAUUACGUGCAGUCAGCAUUUCGGACAGGACACCAACCAGGCUCAAUAUGCGGAUGAUGUCUCAAUACUCAGCGUGGGCAUCGUCAUAUCGAUUGUGUUUCUGGCGGCCACAUUGGUUGCCGGCUACAUGUUGCCAGCGGUGCAUCAUGCGCUCCAUUGGCGCUGUCAGAUCUAUUACGUCUUCUGUCUGCUCCUCGGCAAAAUCCUGUUGAUUGUGGAGAUAAGCCGAGCCCUGGAACCGGGGACGAUGAGUUGCAUGCUGCUGGCCAUUGGCAUGCAGUUCUUCUUUUUGUCCGCCUUCUUUUGGCUAAACACCAUGUGCUUCAACAUCUGGUGGACAUUCCGGGACUUUCGUCCCAGCUCCCUGGAGCGCAAUCAGGAGACCCUACGCUUGCGUUUGUACUCCGCCUAUGCCUGGGGUGUGCCGCUCUUGAUAUGCGCCAUUGCUGCCUGUGUGGAUCAGUUGCCCGAAACGGAGACGGCGCUGUUGCGCACGGGAUUCGGACAACCGUAUUGCUGGUUCGAUAAUCGUGCGGCGAUCUUCGCGUACUUCUUUGGACCGAUCGGAUUGCUGUUGUGCGCCAACAUAAUGCUCUUCAUCUCGACCACACAUCAGUUGACCUGCGGUCUGUGGAAGCGCGACGAUGUCAAGUCAACGUCAGAGAAAUCGGCAUUGGGUCGCGUCUGCCUCAAGCUGGUUGUGGUAAUGGGUGUUACAUGGAUAUGGGAUAUUAUCUCGUGGCUGGUGGGCGGGCCCAAUGAAGUGUGGCUAAUGACGGAUCUGAUCAAUGCCCUGCAGGGUGUAUUCAUCUUUAUUGUCGUGGGAUGCCAGCCGCAGGUGUGGACCGCCUGCAAGCGCAUCUGUUGUCCGCGACUCACGCACGACAUCACGAACACAACGAAUGGGGUGCAGCAUUCGAGCAGCUCGCAGGGAUUGCCCUCGAUGGCCGGAUGUGGCACCGAGUUUACGCAAAACACCUCGAUGAAUGUGACGACUUUGGCCAGUCCAGAUGAUUCUGCACCUGCAGUGCCAACAUCAUCGCCGCCAAGAACGCCAACACUGAGCAUAGCAAACACCACAACAGCAACAACAGGAGCAACAACAACAACAACAAAAAUACCCAUGGAAACUAUUUGCUAAGAAAACUGAGACGAGCGACAAUGCGAAAGUAAACCGAGUCCUACAACAACAACAACAACAGCAGCAGCAGCAGCAACAACAAAAACAACGACAACGGCAGAAACAACCACAACAACAAUGACAAUGAAACGGGCCGACUACAACAACAUGCGGUCACACUUGCGCAAUAGUAACCGCAACAAUAGCAGCCACCACCACCACCACAACAACAACAACAGCAGCAGCGGGUAAAUUCAACAUUCAAGCACGCGCAUUGAGCGAGCGAAUGAGCGAAUGGCCUGGAACUUCCAACUGCCCAGCCCAGCCCAGCUGGCCAAGCUUAUUUCUUAAUUGGACGCGUUUAUGUGGGCAGCAGACACAACUUGAUCCUGAUUGGGAGCGGCGCUCUUUUACCAAAAUACCGAUGAAUUAUCUGCUUGUAAACACAGCCCGAGUUUAUUUACAUCAGGCAUGUUUCUCUCUCUCUCUCUCUCUCUCUUUCUUUCUCUGAAUGUAUGUGUGUAUGUAAUUUUGUAAGUGUGUGUUUUGUUUUCGGCGCACAGAAAAGCGAAGCGCGCGUUUAAUUAAACAAACAUUGAGCUGGUUAAUAGUUUACUUUGAUAUGCACACACACACACACACAAUGAAAUGAAAACAAAAAUACACACACACAGGCACACGUAGAGACGUUUGCAUUUACAUUUAUCAUCAAAAGUUCAACGCAACGAAACUGAUCAAGGUUAAAUGGCCUAAAACAAAAACAACAACAACAGAAGCACAAUGAAUGAGAAAUAGAAACACAAAACGUAAACACACAUAAAAAAGAUGCCAAUAAGAAAGCGAGUUUAAUUAACCGGACACACACACACUCACACACAGAAAACACUAUAGUAAGACGCAAUAUGCCGUUAGAGUUAGUUAGUCGGUUGGCCCCAAAAAAAAAAGGUGUUACCAGAUCUGUUAAAAAACACGUAGACUCCCGUCGCUUGCAUAAUGUAUUUCAAUUUACCUUUUUUUUGAACGCAGAAACUAAAAACAGUACAAUCAUUUUUUUUUUAACAACACGUUUUAAUUUAUUUACGUAAUUUUUUUUUUUUUAGUAAUUAUAUUAGUGCGUUUAACGUAUGUCGAAAAAGAAAAGAAAAUGCGUUUUGAAAACCUACAAAAAAAAAUAAUAAUAAGAAACAAGAAAUCAAAGAGAAGAAGCAGUAACUAAUUUUGUUUUAAGAGCAUUGUAUUAUGAUAGCUAUAAAAAAAGAUAACAAUAAUUAUAAUAUAUAUGUAUGUUUAUGUACUUCCAAAGUGUUCAGGCCAAAAGUAAUAUUUCCCUCUAAUUGUAAAAAAAAGAAAAUAACGAGAAUGUACGGUUCAACAUAUAUAUUUGUCCAUAUCCAAAUGUGAUUGUAUAUAUAUAUAUAAAGUAAAGUUUAUAUAUGUAAAUUGUAUGUAUUUUUUUUAUAUAUAUAUAAAUCCUUUUCAAGUAAACCACAACGAAUAUGAAAUUCUAACUGACUGAGGCAAAAGGCAGCAAAUAUAUAAUAUUAUACUAAUUUUGUAAUUUAACAUACUUUUUAUACGAGUAUGUACUAUUUUUGAUACUAAUCUACAGUCAGCGAUUAAUUUGUAUAUAAUUAGAAUAUAUAUAUAGUAUUGUAAUUGAACCAUUGAAAUUGUAAUUGAAAUUUCAAACACCACAGUGCAUGUUUUUUGCAUAUCAUUAUCUUUCGUAUACAUAUAAUAUCUUAUAAGCAUGUACAAUAUCAAGAUCAACAACGAAUAUAUUUAACUAAGUUUUGCAUAAAUAUAUAUAUGAUGUAUGUAGUAUAGUAUAGUUUAUAAUAGUCGCUAGUGUUUUAGGAAAUGUUUGUAACGAAACUUUGCCCUGUUCUUUUACUCCUUGAAAUGAAACUAAUUGAGUAUUCAAUUCUUAAAUCGAACAAUUGAAAAUGAAAAGUCUGCAAUCCUUUUUAGUCAUCCGCACUCGCACUCCCAUCGAAUGAUAUAAAAAGGGAAGUAAUGUGAAUACUAAAUAUAUGUAUUUAUACUAUAAAUUGUUAUCUAUAUAUAUUCUUUGAAUAUCUUUCAUGUUAAUUUAUGGAACGCUUGUUUAUAAGGCGUUCCCAAUCAUUUUUCGAGGCGUGUGCGAUUUUUUC